ACGGAAUAGAUACCCCGGUAGUCCCAGCCGUAAACGAUGCUCGCUAGGUGUCAGGCAUGGCGCGACCGUGUCUGGUGCCGCAGGGAAGCCGUGAAGCGAGCCACCUGGGAAGUACGGCCGCAAGGCUGAAACUUAAAGGAAUUGGCGGGGGAGCACAACAACGGGUGGAGCCUGCGGUUUAAUUGGACUCAACGCCGGACAACUCACCGGGGGUCGACAGCAAUAUGUAGGCCAGGCUGAAGACCUUGCCUGAAUCGCUGAGAGGAGGUGCAUGGCCGUCGCCAGUUCGUACUGUGAAGCAUCCUGUUAAGUCAGGCAACGAGCGAGACCCGUGCCCACUGUUACCAGCAUAUUCUCCGGAAUGAUGGGUACUCGGUGGGGACCGCCGAUGUUAAACUCGGAGGAAGGUGCGGGCCACGGUAGGUCAGUAUGCCCCGGAAUCUCCCGGGCUACACGCGGGCUACAAUGGAUGGGACAAUGGGUCCCUCCCGUGAAAACGGGUCUGGUAAUCUCACAAACCCGAUUCGUAGUUCGGAUCGAGGGCUGUAACUC
RNAcentral lists this ribosomal RNA (552 nucleotides) under uncultured bacterium. RNAcentral describes it as "bacterial SSU rRNA". It matches the Rfam family "Archaeal small subunit ribosomal RNA", at positions 723 to 1269 of the family's 1478-position model. The record is from RNAcentral.